GCCUGGGAGGAGAGCACACACCUGCUGGGGCUCAGGGAUGACCCAGGCCCAGGGAGAAGGGGCAGGCGGCCCAGGGGCCUGAGGGAGAGACGGGUUUCGUAGCUGUGGUGAACAAGGCCAUGAGUGCCAAGUUUGAGCGGCUGGUGGCGAGCGCAGAGCAGCUGCUGAAGGAGCUGCCCUGGCCCCCAACCUUUGAGAAGGACAAGUUCCUCACCCCUGACUUCACCUCCCUGGAUGUUCUCACCUUCGCUGGCUCCGGCAUCCCUGCCGGCAUCAACAUCCCCAACUACGAUGAUCUGAGGCAGACGGAAGGCUUUAAGAACGUGUCGCUGGGGAAUGUGCUGGCUGUGGCCUACGCCACGCAGCGGGAGAAGCUCACCUUUCUGGAGGAGGAUGACAAGGACCUGUACAUCCUCUGGAAGGGGCCCUCCUUCGAUGUGCAGGUGGGCCUGCACGAGCUGCUGGGCCAUGGCAGUGGCAAGCUCUUCGUACAGGACGAAAAAGGAGCAUUCAACUUUGACCAGGAAACAGUGAUCAACCCAGAGACGGGCGAGCAGAUUCAGAGCUGGUAUCGGAGCGGGGAGACCUGGGAUAGCAAGUUCAGCACCAUCGCCUCC
RNAcentral lists this small RNA (617 nucleotides) under Pan troglodytes (chimpanzee). RNAcentral's name for it is "processed transcript". The record is from RNAcentral. Lineage: Eukaryota; Metazoa; Chordata; Mammalia; Primates; Hominidae.